AGAGAGAGAGAGAGAGAGGGGUAAAUAAAUGGAAAUACUCACGAGAAAAGAAAGGCAAGGCAACGAAGGGAAAGAAAAAGGAAGCCUCUCAAGUCUCAAAUAGUGAAAGGAAUUUAAUUAAUCCCGAAUCCCGCAGUAAAUUAACGCGAUCGAAUCGAAAGUAAAUAUAGAAGCUGCGUUUUGGAGUGCGUUGAAUGACUGUGGAGGAGUGACAAAGUGAAUCAGUAUUAUUUUUUAGGAUGGUGCACUGCGGAGCACCAGAGGGUGAGUGUGUGAGAAGCACGUGUCAGUUCUGUUAUGAAUACGUACUUGCGGAAGGCGGGGUUGGAAUUGGAGCGAAACCAAACAAACACUCCUAAGUCUUCCCCUUUUGAAAUUCCAUUUAUGAUUAUUUCAUUCUCAUGUUUCCUGCGUGA
This is a long non-coding RNA of Glycine soja, 416 nucleotides long. RefSeq lists it as uncharacterized. NCBI's taxonomy places the organism in Eukaryota, Viridiplantae, Streptophyta, Magnoliopsida, Fabales, Fabaceae. The transcript has 2 exons. The record is from RefSeq and is a predicted model, not a curated record.